Molecule: ribosomal RNA, 609 nt
Filed under: Rhodosporidiobolus ruineniae
Lineage: Eukaryota; Fungi; Basidiomycota; Microbotryomycetes; Sporidiobolales; Sporidiobolaceae
Description: LSU rRNA
Rfam family: Eukaryotic large subunit ribosomal RNA
Source: RNAcentral
AUUAAGCAUAUCAAUAAGCGGAGGAAAAGAAACUAACAAGGAUUCCCCUAGUAGCGGCGAGCGAAGCGGGAAGAGCUCAAAUUUAUAAUCUGGCGCUUUCGGCGUCCGAGUUGUAAUCUCUAGAAGUGUUUUCCGCGUUGGACCGCACAUAAGUCUGUUGGAAUACAGCGGCACAGUGGUGAGACCCCCGUUCACGGUGCGGAUGCCCAAUGCUUUGUGAUACACUUUCGAAGAGUCGAGUUGUUUGGGAAUGCAGCUCAAAUUGGGUGGUAAAUUCCAUCUAAAGCUAAAUAUUGGCGAGAGACCGAUAGCGAACAAGUACCGUGAGGGAAAGAUGAAAAGCACUUUGGAAAGAGAGUUAACAGUACGUGAAAUUGUUGGAAGGGAAACGCUUGAAGUCAGACUUGCUAUUCGGGGCUUGCUCCGAGUUGCAGGCCAGCAUCAGUUUUUCGGGGCGGAAAAUCACGGAUUGAAGGUAGCAGUUUCGGCUGUGUUAUAGCUUUCCGUUGGAUACGUCCUGGGGGACUGAGGAACGCAGUGUGCUUUUAGCGAGGGCUUCGGCUCUUUCACACUUAGGAUGCUGGUGGAAUGGCUUUAAACGACCCGUCU